UGUUAAGAAAUAUAUCCAUUUCUACUAUUAAAAAUUAACGUCACUAACAAAAUAAUCGAACAGUUUCAUGUGGCAUGGCAUCUGUACCUCAUUCUGCCAUAUAAGGAACAAUUUUUAAUAGUAAAAAUGGAUGAAAUUUUUAACA
Non-coding RNA from Gossypium hirsutum (cotton), 145 nucleotides. The record is from Rfam. Lineage: Eukaryota; Viridiplantae; Streptophyta; Magnoliopsida; Malvales; Malvaceae.